RNAcentral lists this long non-coding RNA (331 nucleotides) under Nicotiana benthamiana. RNAcentral's name for it is "long non-coding RNA (NBEN_LNC012120)". Lineage: Eukaryota; Viridiplantae; Streptophyta; Magnoliopsida; Solanales; Solanaceae. The record is from RNAcentral.
CAGAGGUGGUUUGGAGCAACUUGGCAGUAUAAAAUUGUUUAUCGGGCUGAGAUCCAUUGCUCCCUAAAGGAGUUCCAAUUGGAGCAAGUGGCUGCGACAUCACGAUAGUAUAUCCAGUGGACACAUCCUUAUAAACAGAUCCGUGCGCCUCUGAAGCUAUAACAUCUGAGUAAUUAUUCUUAUUUUGUGUUUCUCCACCCACAUAUGCAAAGAUUUUAUUUAGGCUAGCUGUGAUUGCAAUACUUUGUCUAGUCGUCCGAGGUAUGCGUGGAGGCUUAGAAACACGGGAUAUCGCCUUGAUCUCUUUUUCUCUUUGUUCUCGCCUAUCAUU